UUACAUGAGUGUUGACAAUAUGAACUUGCU
RNAcentral lists this non-coding RNA (30 nucleotides) under Rattus norvegicus (Norway rat). Lineage: Eukaryota; Metazoa; Chordata; Mammalia; Rodentia; Muridae. The record is from RNAcentral.